GUGCUCAAUUUGGCAGCAUAUAUACUAAAAAUUGGAACAAUACAAAAAAGACUAGAAUGGCCCCUGAGCAAGGAUAACUUAUAAAUGUGUAAAGCAUUCUUUAUAUUU
RNAcentral lists this small nuclear RNA (108 nucleotides) under Canis lupus familiaris (dog). Lineage: Eukaryota; Metazoa; Chordata; Mammalia; Carnivora; Canidae. The record is from RNAcentral.